AUAUGGUAGAAUCUUCUUGUAUCAUCAAAAAUCUCAUAGUUUGUGAGUUUGCUAACUUGAGGGCUCUACAAUAAGGCUCAAGCUUAUCAUACGAUAGAUGAUCGAGACCAUAAAUCUCACACAUGAUCGUUUCUUUCCCAUGCCAUGCUUGAUAGUACUUGAGCAACAUGCCAUAUUUUUCAUGGAUAUCGGCCACAAUUUCGAUAGGCUGGC
This 213-nucleotide long non-coding RNA is filed under the name Elaeis guineensis (African oil palm). Its description in RNAcentral is "long non-coding RNA (EGUI_LNC039317)". The record is from RNAcentral. Lineage: Eukaryota; Viridiplantae; Streptophyta; Magnoliopsida; Arecales; Arecaceae.